Long non-coding RNA from Mus musculus (house mouse), 658 nucleotides. RefSeq annotates it as predicted gene, 53939. The transcript is spliced from 2 exons. The record is from RefSeq and is a predicted model, not a curated record. NCBI's taxonomy places the organism in Eukaryota, Metazoa, Chordata, Mammalia, Rodentia, Muridae.
GCACUGGGCGGUGCGAGCCUCUGCGUCACGCCCUCCUUAAAGGGAGACUCUGUCCGGCCUCCAGGGACGCUCAAGGAGCCCUGGCAUCUGAGCCGGAGGAGUCUAGCAAAUAGAGGUCCUCAGAUUAAAAGGAACGUCCCUUUCAAUCAGCUCACCUGAACUUCCAUAAACUCACCCCAAAACGAGGUGUCAAGGAUCGUCCAGCCAUCAGGCGCGCAGGAGCCUGAGGCAGAAGGAGCAUAUUGAGUUCAAACUAGUCUGGGAUACCGACACAGACCUGUCUCAGAUUCGACAAAUAGAUAAAUGGAUGGAUGGAUACACAGUGCAGGGUUAGGAGUGGAUAUGGAAUUCGUUUCGUUGGAUUUGGUAGUGUCCACUAAUUCGUUUUCUUUUGAAAGUCGUCACACACUUAUUCUAGAGAACUUCAGAAAGCAAAGCCAAGUCUUGUGGGUGGAUGUUGUAGAAGAGCAGAUUUCAACUCGAGAUACCUGAGAAAUCCCUUCCCGUGACCGCCUCUCAUAUCCCUUGUUGACAACACGGAGCAGGCCACAGGCUUGCCUGAACAGUGCUACUUAACUAAAAAUAGAAAUAGUGUAUGCUUGUUAUAGAAAGCUUGGAAAACUCAGGAAAUGUUUUAAAAUAAAAACCCAUACCCAUA